Molecule: non-coding RNA, 397 nt
Organism: Fundulus heteroclitus (mummichog)
Lineage: Eukaryota; Metazoa; Chordata; Actinopteri; Cyprinodontiformes; Fundulidae
Source: the annotation of a RefSeq genome assembly
ACAUGAUGGAUAGCAGAUCAGGACUGCUUAUUUUUGCCCUCUGUUUUAUGGGUGUUGAAGGACAGACUCUGAAAGAAUCUGAAGCAGUGGUUAAAAAACCCGGAGAGUCCCAUAUGCUGACCUGUACGGCCUCGGGAUUCACAUUCAGUAACUACUGGAUGGCCUGGAUCAGACAGGCUCCUGGGAAAAGACUGGAGUGGUUAGCUAGCAUGUAUGACAGUUCCAAUAUCUUUCACUCUCAGUCAGUCCAAGGGCGCUUCAUCAUCUCCAGAGACAACAGCAAACAGCAGGUGUAUCUGCAGAUGAACAGUCUGAAAACAGAAGAUUCUGCUGUUUAUUACUGUGCUCGAGAGACACAGUGACUGAAGUCGGUUCAGCAGCUGUACAAAAACCUGAA